Podarcis muralis (Common wall lizard) is the source of this 106-nucleotide small nuclear RNA. NCBI's taxonomy places the organism in Eukaryota, Metazoa, Chordata, Lepidosauria, Squamata, Lacertidae. The record is from Ensembl.
GUGCUCGCUUCGGCAGCACAUAUACUAAAAUUGGAACGAUACAGAGAAGAUUAGCAUCACAAACUGCAGAAGGCACUAGUUAAGCUGCUAUUUGCUGCAUUCAUUU